Molecule: long non-coding RNA, 342 nt
Filed under: Anser brachyrhynchus (Pink-footed goose)
Lineage: Eukaryota; Metazoa; Chordata; Aves; Anseriformes; Anatidae
Description: lncRNA (ENSABRG00000007985.1)
Source: RNAcentral
GUGGCACCAGGUGUUGCCUAUUAGGUUUCGCAACCCAGUGUACCUUCCCAGUCCUAUGUUAUAUCUCAGAAAGGAUGAUCAAGAAUCAUCUAUGGAUCAGCAGUGAUAGAUACAGAAGAAGAACCUGUGGGACUUUAUUAUCCAGCAGGUAUGGAUGAUAAGGAUCACUUGUCCAACAAGAAACACGUUGAUUUCAUAGGUGGAUUUGACUCUUACGGCUAUCAAGGCCCACAGAAGACAUCUCAUCUACAGUUACAGCCCAUGUAUAUUGCCAACAGUGUACUUUAUGCUGUACAAGCCAAGAAGCCUAUCCAGUCCCUUCAAAAUGAAUAUGCAUUUUAA